GGCUCAGGAUGAACGCUGGCGGCGUGCUUAACACAUGCAAGUCGAACGGACCGCAAGGUCAGUGGCGGACGGGUGCGUAACACGUGGGUGACCUGCCCUGGAGUGGGGAAUAAUUCCGCGAAAGCGGGACUAAUACCGCAUAGGCUCAAUGAUUCGGUUCAUUGAGUAAAGCCGUAAGGCGCUUUGGGAUGGACCUGCGGCGGAUUAGCUAGUUGGUGAGGUAACGGCUCACCAAGGCGAUGAUCCGUAGGGGGCGUGAGAGCGUGGCCCCCCACAUUGGCACUGAGACACGGGCCAAACUCCUACGGGAGGCAGCAGUGAGGAAUAUUGCGCAAUGGGCGAAAGCCUGACGCAGCAACGCCGCGUGAGGGACGAAGGCCUUCGGGUCGUAAACCUCUUUUCUGAGGGACGAGACAAAGGACGGUACCUCAGGAAUCAGUCUCGGCUAACUACGUGCCAGCAGCCGCGGUAAAACGUAGGAGGCGAGCGUUAUCCGGAUUUACUGGGCGUAAAGCGCACGCAGGCGGGUCUGCAAGUCGGUUGUAAAUGCUCCUGGCUUAACUGGGAGAGGCCAAUCGAAACUGCAGGGCUUGAGGUUGGGAGAGGGGUGCGGAAUUCCCGGUGUAGCGGUGGAAUGCGUAGAUAUCGGGAGGAACACCAGUGGCGAAGGCGGCACCCUGGCCCACACCUGACGCUGAGGUGCGAAAGCGUGGGGAGUAAACAGGAUUAGAUACCCUGGUAAUCCACGCUGUAAACGAUGUCAACUAGGUGUCGGUAGUGUUACACCAUCGGUGCCGAAGC
This 801-nucleotide ribosomal RNA is filed under the name uncultured bacterium. Its description in RNAcentral is "partial 16S rRNA". It matches the Rfam family "Bacterial small subunit ribosomal RNA", at positions 21 to 852 of the family's 1533-position model. The record is from RNAcentral.